UUUUAAAUGGCCGCAGUAUUUUGACUGUGCAAAGGUAGCAUAAUCAUUAGUUUUUUAAUUAAAAGCUUGUAUGAAAGGCUGGACGAGGUAAAAUCUGUCUCUAUUUAAAUUAUAGUAGAAUUUAACUUUUAAGUCAAAAGGCUUAAAUGUUAUUAAAAGACGAGAAGACCCUAUAGAUCUUUAUAGUUUAUUAAAUUAAAUUAAUUUAGAAAUGUUAAUGUUUUAUUUGAUUAAGUUAUUUUAUUGGGGUAAUAAAAAGAUUGAAUUAAUUCUUUUUUAUAAUAAACAUUAAUUUAUGAAUAUUAAUGAUCCAGUUUUACUGAUUAUAAGAUUAAGUUACCUUGGGGAUAACAGCGUAAUUUUUUUAGAGAGUUCAUAUCGAUAAAAAAGUUUGCGACCUCGAUGUUGGAUUAAAGAUUAUUUUAGGUGUAGAAGCUUAAUAAUUUUGGUCUGUUCGACCAUUAAAUCUUUACAUGAUCUGAGUUCAGACCGGCGUAAGCCAGGUCGGUUUCUAUCUUUAAUAAAACAAAAUAUUUUAGUACGAAAGGACCAAAUAUUUGAUAUAUUUAUAUUUAACUCAUUGAAUAUUA
This 590-nucleotide ribosomal RNA is filed under the name Carabus problematicus. RNAcentral's name for it is "partial large subunit ribosomal RNA". It matches the Rfam family "Bacterial large subunit ribosomal RNA", at positions 1921 to 2743 of the family's 2925-position model. The record is from RNAcentral. Lineage: Eukaryota; Metazoa; Arthropoda; Insecta; Coleoptera; Carabidae.